Molecule: ribosomal RNA, 1235 nt
Filed under: metagenome
Description: bacterial LSU rRNA
Rfam family: Bacterial large subunit ribosomal RNA
Source: RNAcentral
UGAAUACGAGAUGCUACGGCGUCGAAGCAGUCUAUGUCAUACUUCCAAGAAAAGCUUGCACUGUCAUAAACAAAUAAUGCCUGUACCAUAACCGACACAGGUGGGUAGGUAGAGUAUACUAAGGGGCGCGAGAUAACUCUCUCUAAGGAACUCGGCAAAAUGACUCCGUAACUUCGGGAGAAGGAGUGCCUUAUUUAUAAGGUUGCAAUAACAAGACCCAAGCAACUGUUUAUCAAAAACACAGGUCUCCGCUAAGUCGUAAGACGAUGUAUGGGGGCUGACGCCUGCCCAGUGCCAGAAGGUUAAAGAAGUUGGUUAGCAUUAGCGAAGCUGAUGACUGAAGCCCUGGUGAACGGCGGCCGUAACAAUAACGGUCCUAAGGUAGCGAAAUUCCUUGUCGGGUAAGUUCCGACCCGCACGGAAGGCGUAAUGAUUUGGGUACUGUCUCAGAGAGGGACUCGGUGAAAUAGACUUGUCUGUGAAGAUGCGGACUACCUGCACCUGGACAGAAAGACCCUAUGAAGCUUUACUGUAACCUGAAAUUGAAAUUGAACUUUAUUUGCGCAGUAUAGGUGGGAGGCUUUGAAGAUAUUCUUGCAGGAAUGUUGGAGCCAUCAGUGAGAUACCACUCUUGUAAUGUUAGAUUUCUAACUUUGUAUCACUAUCUGGUCAAAGAACAGUUUCAGGCGGGCAGUUUGACUGGGGCGGUCGCCUCCUAAACGGUAACGGAGGCGCACAAAGGUUUCCUCUGAACGGGUAGAAAUCGUAUCUAGAGUGUAAAGGCAUAAGGAAGCUUGACUGUGAGACCUACAAGUCGAGCAGGGACGAAAGUCGGUCUUAGUGAUCUGACGGUGCUGAGUGGAAAGGCCGUCACUCAACGGAUAAAAGUUACUCUAAGGAUAACAGGCUGAUCUCCCCCAAGAGUUCACAUCGACGGGGAGGUUUGGCACCUCGAUGUCGGCUCAUCGCAUCCUGGGGCGGUAGUACGUCCCAAGGGUUGGGCUGUUCGCCCAUGAAAGCGGUACGCGAGCUGGGUUCAGAACGUCGUGAGACAGUUCGGUCCAUAUCCGGUGUAGGCGUUAGAAUAUUGAGAGGAGCCUUCUCUAGUACGAGAGGACCGAGAAGGACACACCUCUGGUGUACCAGUUAUCGUGCCAACGGUAAACGCUGGGUAGCUAUGUGUGGAGCGGAUAACCGCUGAAAGCAUCUAAGUGGGAAGCCCACCUCAAGAUAAG